GCUGGGUGUGGUGGUGCAUGCCUGUAAUCCCAGCUGCUCUGGAGGCUGAAGCAAGAGGAUCUUCAGUCCAAAGCCAGCCUCAGCAAAAGCAAGGUACUAAGCAACUCAGUGAGAACCUGUCUCUA
Molecule: small RNA, 125 nt
Filed under: Marmota monax (woodchuck)
Lineage: Eukaryota; Metazoa; Chordata; Mammalia; Rodentia; Sciuridae
Source: RNAcentral